RNAcentral lists this ribosomal RNA (253 nucleotides) under uncultured bacterium. RNAcentral's name for it is "partial 16S ribosomal RNA". It matches the Rfam family "Bacterial small subunit ribosomal RNA", at positions 524 to 776 of the family's 1533-position model. The record is from RNAcentral.
UACAGAGGGGGCAAGCGUUAUUCGGAAUUAUUGGGCGUAAAGGGCGCGUAGGCGGCCACGCACGUCCGUUGUGAAAUCGCUCGGCUCAACUGGGCGGGGUCAGCGGAUACGGAGUGGCUGGAGCAAGCUAGGGGGCAAUGGAAUUCCCGGUGUAGUGGUGGAAUGCGUAGAUAUCGGGAGGAACACCAGUGGCGAAGGCGGUUGCCUGGAGCUUUGCUGACGCUGAUGCGCGAAAGCGUGGGGAGCGAUCCGG